RNAcentral lists this ribosomal RNA (465 nucleotides) under uncultured bacterium. Its description in RNAcentral is "partial 16S ribosomal RNA". It matches the Rfam family "Bacterial small subunit ribosomal RNA", at positions 28 to 507 of the family's 1533-position model. The record is from RNAcentral.
GACGAACGCUGGCGGCGUGCUUAACACAUGCAAGUCGAACGGAAAGGCCCUGCUUGCAGGGUACUCGAGUGGCGAACGGGUGAGUAACACGUGGGUGAUCUGCCCUGCACUUCGGGAUAAGCCUGGGAAACUGGGUCUAAUACCGGAUAGGAGCCAUUUUUAGUGUGAUGGUUGGAAAGUUUUUUCGGUGUAGGAUGAGCUCGCGGCCUAUCAGCUUGUUGGUGGGGUAAUGGCCUACCAAGGCGGCGACGGGUAGCCGGCCUGGGAGGGUGGACGGCCACAUUGGGACUGAGAUACGGCCCAGACUCCUACGGGGGGCAGCAGUGGGGAAAAUUGCACAAUGGGCGCAAGCCUGAUGCAGCGACGCCGCGUGGGGGAUGACGGCCUUCGGGUUGUAAACUCCUUUCGCUAGGGACGAAGCUUUUUGUGACGGUACCUAGAUAAGAAGCACCGGCUAACUACGUG